GACGAACGCUGGCGACGUGCUUAACACAUGCAAGUCGAACGGAAAGGCCCUGCUUUUGUGGGGUGCUCGAGUGGCGAACGGGUGAGUAACACGUGAGUAACCUGCCCUUGACUUUGGGAUAACUUCAGGAAACUGGGGCUAAUACCGGAUAGGAGCUCCUGCUGCAUGGUGGGGGUUGGAAAGUUUCGGCGGUUGGGGAUGGACUCGCGGCUUAUCAGCUUGUUGGUGGGGUAGUGGCUUACCAAGGCUUUGACGGGUAGCCGGCCUGAGAGGGUGACCGGCCACAUUGGGACUGAGAUACGGCCCAGACUCCUACGGGAGGCAGCAGUGGGGAAUAUUGCACAAUGGGCGGAAGCCUGAUGCAGCAACGCCGCGUGCGGGAUGACGGCCUUCGGGUUGUAAACCGCUUUCGCCUGUGACGAAGCGUGAGUGACGGCAAUGGGUAAAGAAGCACCGGCUAACUACGUG
This 468-nucleotide ribosomal RNA is filed under the name uncultured bacterium. RNAcentral describes it as "partial 16S ribosomal RNA". It matches the Rfam family "Bacterial small subunit ribosomal RNA", at positions 28 to 507 of the family's 1533-position model. The record is from RNAcentral.